This 923-nucleotide ribosomal RNA is filed under the name uncultured bacterium. Its description in RNAcentral is "bacterial SSU rRNA". It matches the Rfam family "Bacterial small subunit ribosomal RNA", at positions 8 to 916 of the family's 1533-position model. The record is from RNAcentral.
AGAGUUUGAUCAUGGCUCAGGACGAACGCUGGCGGCGUGCCUAAUACAUGCAAGUCGAGCGAAUCUUUGGGAGCUUGCUCCCAAUAGAUUAGCGGCGGACGGGUGAGUAACACGUGGGUAACCUGCCUGUAAGACUGGGAUAACUUCGGGAAACCGGAGCUAAUACCGGAUAGUUUCUUUUCUCGCAUGAGAGAAGAUGGAAAGAUGGUUUUGCUAUCACUUACAGAUGGACCCGCGGCGCAUUAGCUAGUUGGUGAGGUAACGGCUCACCAAGGCAACGAUGCGUAGCCGACCUGAGAGGGUGAUCGGCCACAUUGGGACUGAGACACGGCCCAAACUCCUACGGGAGGCAGCAGUAGGGAAUCUUCCGCAAUGGACGAAAGUCUGACGGAGCAACGCCGCGUGAGCGAAGAAGGCCUUCGGGUCGUAAAGCUCUGUUGUUAGGGAAGAACAAGUAUCGGAGUAACUACCGGUACCUUGACGGUACCUAACCAGAAAGCCACGGCUAACUACGUGCCAGCAGCCGCGGUAAUACGUAGGUGGCAAGCGUUGUCCGGAAUUAUUGGGCGUAAAGCGCGCGCAGGCGGUUCUUUAAGUCUGAUGUGAAAGCCCACGGCUUAACCGUGGAGGGUCAUUGGAAACUGGGGAACUUGAGUGCAGAAGAGGAGAGUGGAAUUCCACGUGUAGCGGUGAAAUGCGUAGAUAUGUGGAGGAACACCAGUGGCGAAGGCGACUCUCUGGUCUGUAACUGACGCUGAGGCGCGAAAGCGUGGGGAGCAAACAGGAUUAGAUACCCUGGUAGUCCACGCCGUAACGAUGAGUGCUAAGUGUUAGAGGGUUUCCGCCCUUUAGUGCUGCAGCUAACGCAUUAGCACUCCGCCUGGGGGAGUACGACCGCAAGUUGAACUCAAAGGGAAUGACGG